Myodes glareolus (Bank vole) is the source of this 102-nucleotide small nuclear RNA. The record is from RefSeq and is a predicted model, not a curated record. Lineage: Eukaryota; Metazoa; Chordata; Mammalia; Rodentia; Cricetidae.
GUGCUGUCUUUGGUAGCACAUGUACUAAAAUCGGGAUAAUUCAGAUUAGCAUGAGCCUUGCCCAAGGGUGGCACGUAAAAUCAUGUAGCGUUCCACAUUUUA